GACGGGGGGUCCUAGCGUUGUUCGGAAUCAUUGGGCGUAAAGCGUGUGCAGGUGGUUUGGAAAGUUGGAUGUGAAAGCCUUGGGCUUAACCCAAGAAGUGCAUUCAAAACUCCCAAACUUGAGUAGGGAAGAGGGUCGUGGAAUUCCAGGUGUAGUGGUGAAAUACGUAGAUAUCUGGAGGAACACCGGUGGCGAAGGCGGCGACCUGGUCCUAUACUGACACUCAUACACGAAAGCGUGGGGAUCAAACAGGAUUAGAUACCCGGGUAGU
RNAcentral lists this ribosomal RNA (271 nucleotides) under uncultured bacterium. RNAcentral describes it as "partial 16S ribosomal RNA". It matches the Rfam family "Bacterial small subunit ribosomal RNA", at positions 524 to 794 of the family's 1533-position model. The record is from RNAcentral.